GCCGAGGUGGUGGAAUAGGUAGACACGCUGCUUUGAGGGGGCAGUCCCCGUUUAGGGGGUAGGAGUUCAAGUCUCCUCCUCGGCACCA
Molecule: transfer RNA, 88 nt
Filed under: Dehalococcoidia bacterium
Lineage: Bacteria; Bacillati; Chloroflexota; Dehalococcoidia
Description: tRNA-Leu
Rfam family: tRNA
About the family: Transfer RNA (tRNA) molecules are approximately 80 nucleotides in length.
Source: RNAcentral